AUUCCAUGAUGAAGGCACUUUCGUAAAAAUUCUUUGUACCUUUCCCAUGCUUCUACAAGGACUUAUCAUCCAUUUGUUGGAAAGCAGUGAUCUCAUUCCUCAACUU
Small nucleolar RNA from Gossypium arboreum, 106 nucleotides. It matches the Rfam family "Plant small nucleolar RNA R71". From Rfam's summary of the family: R71 is a member of the C/D box family of snoRNAs containing the C (UGAUGA) and D (CUGA) box motifs. The record is from Rfam. NCBI's taxonomy places the organism in Eukaryota, Viridiplantae, Streptophyta, Magnoliopsida, Malvales, Malvaceae.